GAUGAACGCUGGCUACAGGCUUAACACAUGCAAGUCGAGGGGAAACGCCGGGGAAGCUUGCUUCCCCGGGCGUCGACCGGCGCACGGGUGAGUAACGCGUAUCCCACCUGCCUCUGACUGAGGGAUAACCCGUCGAAAGUCGGCCUAAUACCUCAUGGUAUCGUCUGCGGGCAUCCAACGACGAUUAAAGAUUUCAUCGGUCAGGGAUGGGGAUGCGUCUGAUUAGCUUGUUGGCGGGGUAACGGCCCACCAAGGCUACGAUCAGGAGGGGUUCUGAGAGGAAGGUCCCCCAGAGUGGAACUGGGACACGGGCCAAACUCAUACGGGAGGCAGCAGUGAGGAAGAUUGGUGAAUGGGCGAGAGCCUGAACCAGCCAAGUAGCGUGCAGGAAGACGGCCCGAUGGGUGGUAAACUGCUUUUAGGCGGGGAUAAAGUGAGGGACGUGUCCCUCAGUGCAGGUACCGCAUGAAUAAGGACCGGCUAAUUCCGUG
RNAcentral lists this ribosomal RNA (491 nucleotides) under uncultured bacterium. Its description in RNAcentral is "partial 16S ribosomal RNA". It matches the Rfam family "Bacterial small subunit ribosomal RNA", at positions 28 to 507 of the family's 1533-position model. The record is from RNAcentral.